RNAcentral lists this transfer RNA (77 nucleotides) under Clostridia bacterium. Its description in RNAcentral is "tRNA-Ile". It matches the Rfam family "tRNA". From Rfam's summary of the family: Transfer RNA (tRNA) molecules are approximately 80 nucleotides in length. Their secondary structure includes four short double-helical elements and three loops (D, anti-codon, and T loops). Lineage: Bacteria; Bacillati; Bacillota; Clostridia. The record is from RNAcentral. RNAcentral also lists the same sequence under 2 other names.
GGGGUUGUAGCUCAGUUGGUUAGAGCACGCGCCUGAUAAGCGCGAGGUCGAUAGUUCGAGUCUAUUCAACCCCACCA